ACACCGGCAGCUCAAGUGGUAGCCGCUUUUAUUGGGCCUAAAGCGUCCGUAGCCGGUCUGAUAAGUCUCUGGUGAAAUCCCGCAGCUUAACUGUGGGAAUUGCUGGAGAUACUAUCAUGACUCGAGGUCGGGAGAGGCUGGAGGUACUCCCAGGGUAGGGGUGAAAUCCUGUAAUCCUGGGAGGACCACCUGUGGCGAAGGCGUCCAGCUGGAACGAACCUGACGGGGAGGGACGAAAGCCAGGGGCGCGAACCGGAGUAGAUACCCGGGUAGUCCUGGCCGUAAACGAUGUGGACUUGGUGUUGGGAUGGCUUCGAGCUGCCCCAGUGCCGAAGGGAAGCUGUUAAGUCCACCGCCUGGGAAGUACGGCCGCAAGGCUGAAACUCAAAUGAAUUGGCGGGG
RNAcentral lists this ribosomal RNA (402 nucleotides) under uncultured bacterium. Its description in RNAcentral is "partial 16S ribosomal RNA". It matches the Rfam family "Archaeal small subunit ribosomal RNA", at positions 473 to 873 of the family's 1478-position model. The record is from RNAcentral.